CCCCGGACCUACCCCUCGCGGGGCCUCGGCCUCCAGCGCCAACCGCCUUCGCGCCAACCGCCUUCGGGAGCGUCUGGGCUCUUGCACCUGCCCCCCCGCGCGGACCCGGGACACCCGGCCAGGCGCCCGCGUCCUGCCGCUCCCGAGCGUGUUUGCGGACGUUGGAGCCGGUCGGGGCCACCGGGUGGUUUUUCUCUUUGUCCUUGUAAAGAGCGAGCGCAGGUAUAUGUAGGCAUAAAUGAACAUGGGAACUGGCCUGAGUGGAAAUAUCCAGAGAAUGCCUUGAGCAUGACCCAGAGUCGGAACCUGAGAAAGAUUUCAAGAUGGCCAAGUAGCUUUGGACAGGGUUAGCUGCGAGAAGCGGGGGCCAAACAUACCCCUUGACCAUCACGAUGCAGGUUUUAUCUAUUUAUUCAUGAGAGACACAGAGAGAGAGAGGCAGAGACACAGGCACAGGGAGAAGUAAGCUCCCUGCAGGGAGCCCUAAGCGGGACACGACCCCAGGACCCCAGGAUCAUGCUCUGGGCUGAAGGCAGACACUCAACCACUGAGCCCCCCAGGACGACGAGGCAGGCUUGGCGACAGUGCGACACCUGGAGCCCUGAUGGCCCGGCUCCUACCCGGCUCAGGGCUGCGGCCCAGGGCGCACAGCAGGCCAGGUGGGGGUGCAGGAGAGAGGGGGACCCCAGCCGCGCGGGGGCUGGCGCUGGCGCUGGCGAGACACGGCAAGGAACCAGGCCGGCUAGAGGCAGGACCCCCGUUCUGGCGAGAAGGCAUCGGGCUGUACGUUGAGCUUACAGUCUAGUUAAGUAUCAUCAUUCCACAGUGCAGCAGCGCUGUGUCGGGUAAACACUCCUCCAAACACCAGUAGCCUUUGCCGGGGACGAGUGACCGCCAUACAGAGGAUCACAAUUGCCCUGCUUUUCCUCUAGGAGAAAUUAAUCUGAGUGUGACAACUUAGUUUAGGCCAGAAACACUAAAAAUUUCAACCUAAUGGGCUUUAAUUAAUUAAAAUGAGGCUUUGGAAGAUGCCUCUCAAAUGUAAGGCGCAGCAAAUCUGUGCACCGUGAAGUUGUAGAUAUUAAGCCCCUUAAUAAAACUGCCCUAGAAAAAUGCA
RNAcentral lists this long non-coding RNA (1117 nucleotides) under Vulpes vulpes (red fox). RNAcentral describes it as "lncRNA (ENSVVUG00000008828.1)". Lineage: Eukaryota; Metazoa; Chordata; Mammalia; Carnivora; Canidae. The record is from RNAcentral.